Molecule: ribosomal RNA, 1080 nt
Filed under: Lacticaseibacillus rhamnosus
Lineage: Bacteria; Bacillati; Bacillota; Bacilli; Lactobacillales; Lactobacillaceae
Description: bacterial LSU rRNA
Rfam family: Bacterial large subunit ribosomal RNA
Source: RNAcentral
CUCCGUCCAGGAUCCUGAGUACGGCGGAACACGUGAAAUUCCGUCGGAAUCCGGGAGGACCAUCUCCCAAGGCUAAAUACUCCCUAGUGACCGAUAGUGAACCAGUACCGUGAGGGAAAGGUGAAAAGCACCCCGGAAGGGGAGUGAAACAGUUCCUGAAACCGUGUGCCUACAAUUAGUCAAAGCCCGUUAACGGGUAAUGGCGUGCCUUUUGUAGAAUGAACCGGCGAGUUACGUUUGCCUGCGAGGUUAAGAUGAAAAGUCGGAGCCGGAGCGAAAGCGAGUCUGAACAGGGCGCUUCAGUAGGUAGAUGUAGACCCGAAACCAAGUGACCUACCCAUGACCAGGUUGAAGGUGUGGUGAAACACACUGGAGGACCGAACCCAUGUAUGUUGAAAAAUGCUGGGAUGAGUUGUGGGUAGCGGUGAAAUUCCAAACGAACUUGGAGAUAGCUGGUUCUCUCCGAAAUAGCUUUAGGGUUAGCCUCGGAGGAUGGAUCAUGGAGGUAGAGCACUGUUUGAACUAGGGGCCCGUCAAGGGUUACUGAAUUCAGAUAAACUCCGAAUACCAUUGAUCUUACUCCGGGAGUCAGACAGUGAGCGAUAAGGUCCAUUGUCGAAAGGGGAACAGCCCAGAUCACCAGUUAAGGUCCCUAAAUUUAUGCUAAGUGGAAAAGGAUGUGGCGUUGCACAGACAACUAGGAUGUUGGCUCAGAAGCAGCCACCAUUUAAAGAGUGCGUAAUAGCUCACUAGUCGAGUGGCACUGCGCCGAAAAUAUACCGGGGCUAAGCAUAAUACCGAAACUGUGGGUGCACCCGUCAGGGUGCGCGGUAGGAGAGCGUUCUAAGGGCGUUGAAGGUCGAUCGUGAGGACGGCUGGAGCGCUUAGAAGUGAGAAUGCCGGCAUGAGUAGCGAAAGAUCAGUGAGAAUCUGAUCCACCGUAUGACUAAGGUUUCCUGGGGAAGGCUCGUCCUCCCAGGGUUAGUCGGGAUCUAAGGCGAGGCCGCAAGGCGUAGUCGAUGACAAGCAGGUUGAGAUUCCUGCACUAGUUUAUUUUGUUUAAGCGAUGGAGGGACGCAG